GAUAAGAACGCAGCAAAAUGCGAUAAGUAAUGUGAAUUGCAGAAUUCAGUGAAUCAUCGAAUCUUUGAACGCACAUUGCGCCCGCCAGUAUUCUGGCGGGCAUGCCUGUUCGAGCGUCAUUUCAACCAUCAAGCCCCAGGCUUGUGUUGGGGACCUGCGGCUGCCGCAGGCCCUGAAAACCAGUGGCGGGCUCGCUAGUCACACCGAGCGUAGUAGCAUACACAUCGCUCAGGGCGUGCUGCGGGUUCCGGCCGUUAAACCCCUUUUUUACCCAAGGUUGACCUCGGAUCAGGUAGGAAGACCCGCUGAACUUAAGCAUAUCAAUAAGCGGAGGA
RNAcentral lists this unclassified non-coding RNA (335 nucleotides) under soil metagenome. RNAcentral's name for it is "partial contains 5.8S ribosomal RNA, internal transcribed spacer 2, and large subunit ribosomal RNA". The stretch from base 4 to 119 matches the Rfam family "5.8S ribosomal RNA", at positions 39 to 154 of the family's 154-position model. The record is from RNAcentral.